RNAcentral lists this ribosomal RNA (1137 nucleotides) under Billgrantia desiderata. RNAcentral's name for it is "bacterial SSU rRNA". It matches the Rfam family "Bacterial small subunit ribosomal RNA", at positions 56 to 1185 of the family's 1533-position model. Lineage: Bacteria; Pseudomonadati; Pseudomonadota; Gammaproteobacteria; Oceanospirillales; Halomonadaceae. The record is from RNAcentral.
UGCAGUCGAGCGGCAGCACGGGAAGCUUGCUUCCUGGUGGCGAGCGGCGGACGGGUGAGUAAUGCAUAGGAAUCUGCCCGAUAGUGGGGGAUAACCUGGGGAAACCCAGGCUAAUACCGCAUACGUCCUACGGGAGAAAGCAGGGGCUCUUCGGACCUUGCGCUAUCGGAUGAGCCUAUGUCGGAUUAGCUGGUUGGUGAGGUAAUGGCUCACCAAGGCGACGAUCCGUAGCUGGUCUGAGAGGAUGAUCAGCCACAUCGGGACUGAGACACGGCCCGAACUCCUACGGGAGGCAGCAGUGGGGAAUAUUGGACAAUGGGCGCAAGCCUGAUCCAGCCAUGCCGCGUGUGUGAAGAAGGCCUUAGGGUUGUAAAGCACUUUCAGUGGGGAAGAAAGCCUUGCGGUUAAUACCCGUGAGGAAGGACAUCACCCACAGAAGAAGCACCGGCUAACUCCGUGCCAGCAGCCGCGGUAAUACGGAGGGUGCGAGCGUUAAUCGGAAUUACUGGGCGUAAAGCGCGCGUAGGUGGCUUGAUAAGCCGGUUGUGAAAGCCCCGGGCUCAACCUGGGAACGGCAUCCGGAACUGUCAGGCUAGAGUGCAGGAGAGGAAGGUAGAAUUCCCGGUGUAGCGGUGAAAUGCGUAGAGAUCGGGAGGAAUACCAGUGGCGAAGGCGGCCUUCUGGACUGACACUGACACUGAGGUGCGAAAGCGUGGGUAGCAAACAGGAUUAGAUACCCUGGUAGUCCACGCCGUAAACGAUGUCGACUAGCCGUUGGGUCCUUCGCGGACUUUGUGGCGCAGUUAACGCGAUAAGUCGACCGCCUGGGGAGUACGGCCGCAAGGUUAAAACUCAAAUGAAUUGACGGGGGCCCGCACAAGCGGUGGAGCAUGUGGUUUAAUUCGAUGCAACGCGAAGAACCUUACCUACCCUUGACAUCCUGCGAACCCUUCGGAGACGAAGGGGUGCCUUCGGGAACGCAGAGACAGGUGCUGCAUGGCUGUCGUCAGCUCGUGUUGUGAAAUGUUGGGUUAAGUCCCGUAACGAGCGCAACCCUUGUCCUUAUUUGCCAGCGGGUAAUGCCGGGAACUCUAAGGAGACUGCCGGUGACAAACCGGAGGAAGGUGGGGACGACGU